CAGCAGCCACAGCCCUGGUUAGACCCAGGAUCGCAGCCAAGUCAAUGCACUCAGACUGGCAAGAUUCUCAGGGAAACCUGGAAGACUGGAGCUUGAAAGGAUAUACAGAGCAAGAGCCCAAGUCACCAUUGCCCAAAUGGAGGAGUUGUUCCUGGAGAGGGUGCAAGAUUUGGGCCAUGAGGUGGCUGAGCAAGAACUGCAGCCCUGGCCCUGCUCGCAGCCUACCUGGGGGUGGGGUACAAAUGCCUGGAGCUUUCCUUGUUAUCUAUAAAAUACUAGCAAUGAAAGAAAGUCAGAGUAAGGAUACUCACCCUCUCAUUAACUUUCCUUCCUGGCAGCACACACCAUCUUUCCAAAUCUUGCUCCUGGGCCUGGAAACAGAAUUCCUCCUUAGAGGUUUCACACAAAGGAGCCAGAGGGCGGUGGUAGAGAAGGUUUAAAUGAGUUCAAGGUAUGAACAGGUGGGGAAAAGGGUUACACAGGAGGAGAGGGACAUAUGAGGUAAGUCAAAGAGAAGCCAAGGUCAGCCAUGGUCCUAUGACUACAAAGGCCCCUGGCCAAAUUGAGCAAUGCAUUUUCUUCUCUCUGCAGGGGAGAAAAGCCAGAAGAGACAGGUUCUGGGAGCUGCCUCUGAAAAUCCCAGCCUGCUUGGGGUAACAUUGCUGAGUAGAGCUAGUGGAGGGAUGAGACCCAGAGACACCGUGGGGUCCCCUAUUUGAAAACUACCUUUCCCAAGGAGGGUCAAAACUGCAGCUGGGAGCCCAAAGCUGGGCCAAACCUCAGAAAACCACAGUCCCUUUGGGACUUCGUGUCAACCUUUGGUCUGAACCUGCCCAAGACCAAGAUAUCUUAUGCUUCCUGCCAGCCUAAUCCUCCUGAAUAUGCUUUCAUCUCACCCCUCCCUGGACCAGAUCACUCCCCUGGCUCCACAUUGCCUCCUUCUUCAAGUCUAAACUUCGCUUCCCUGUUCUUUACAUGCACAUUCCACCCCCACCCCGCCUCACUCCCCAUCCUCCAUCCCACACGUCCUGCUUUAGACACUACUAUCACCUCACUCUCCCCUGCAAUGUCCAUGAUCAUUCCUAACUCUGUUGUCUUUUCUCCUCUUCUUCUAUUCAGAAAACCAUGCUUCUUCCUCUGUCAAAAAACUAAUCUGCCUCUCCAUCAAGGUGUGGCUCACUUCUUCCAGGAAUCCUUCUUCUUUAUCAGUCCAUCUGGAUCGCUUCCAUCUAGAAAUGUCAUUCUAACAAUCCAAGAGCUGUACCAACACCAAUACUAACACUACUGCUAAGGCUAGUGCUAACACAGAUGGUAAAGCUUACUGGGUGCUCACCACAUGCUGGACUAAAUUCUUGGUCAUUUUGUGUGCUGACUCAUUUACUCCUCCCCAGAUCCUACAAGGUAGGUACUCUGAUUCAUUUUACAUAUUGGAAAAUAAUAAAGGGUAUAUAACAUGGCCUUAGUAAGUGCUCUCACAUUUGGUGGGUAUUUAAUAUACAAGUGGCCCUGGGUGUUAUCCAAUGAGAGGAGAAAGCUUCUCCCUUUUUCAGUGGUAGAGCCAUUGGUAACCCUUGGCAGCUUUAUUUAUGAAAAUAAAUCAUUCCUAAACUGAUUCAGGGUUUAGGACAAGCAGUAUUCAGGCUGAAUGGGAAGCAGGGAGCACAGGGAGAGUUGCAUUUAUCACAAUUAAUAUCUUGUGCCUUGUCAAAUAUCUGACAUACUGUGCCUGUGUAUUACCUCUUGUCUAAGGCAUGUGUAAACGUUCAGUUAAUAUUUAAUGGCCUCCACUGGAGAAGAACUCAUGGCUCAUGAUGAAGAUUGAUGUUGGACUUUUUAUUAUGAACAAUUUCAGACACACACACAAAAGUAGAAGAAUUUAAUAAGCUCCGUUGUACCUGUCACCCAGAUCCAACAAUAAUUAACUCUCAGGCUUGUUUCAUCUAUAUCCCACUUACCAGCCCCCAACCCCAAAUUAUUCUGAAGCAAAUCCAAGACACUGUGUCAUUUCAUGUUGAGAAUAUUUCAAAGAAAAAGGAAACGGAGAGGGAAAUAUACAUUGUACAUAAAUUUUACUUUUCCUUAAACAACAGAUGGAGCCUAGGAAAGAACAAGACACCCAGUCCCCAGGAAGGAGAGAAAAUAACACUCUCCCAUUUUAAUUGCUUUGCUACUGUAUAUUUACUCCAUAGAUUCUUGAUCAUAGUUCUGUAAAUUUAUAGCUUUAAUGUUCUCACUGGGGGUUGUCUCACCAGCUCCAAUUACAUUGGAAACACCUGGCAAGCAAGAUCCACAUUUUCCUCUUACUGAAUUUAACAUCAUGUGUUCUGCUGUUCCAUAGGACAUCUGGCUUGCCCUCCUCCCUCCCUUCCUUCUUAAUGUCUGCCUUCCUUUCUAACCAGUCUCCAGGCUUCAUAAUAAUGUCCUAACUUCCUUUUGUUACUCCCAUAAACAUUCACUAGAUACAGCUCCUGGUAUACAGUAGACAAAAUUGGAACGUGUAGCACACGUGGCAGGAAGGCAUCUCCCACAAGGUGAUGGUGCAGCUGAGUCUUACAGCGUAAGCAUGAAUUAGCUGAUUGCAGCGGGUGGGGGAGUGGUUGUUGGAGGAAGGGAAUUUGAGGCAGAGGAAAUAGCCCCAGCAAAGAUCUGUGGAAGAAAUUUGGGCCUAUGUGAGAAACUGCAAAAUGUACCACAUGGUUGGAUCAAUAUAUUUAAAUAGGUCAUUGAGGUCAAGAAUGAGAUUUGAAAAUACACUGCAUCCAGACCUUGUAGGACAAUACCAAUCAGAGCAAGGGAGCAGAUAGAGAAAGACAGGUGGGAGAGAAAGGGAGUCCUGAUGCAUAAAAGAAAAGCUAUGAUGAACUCCCCAAAGGCCUGGAUUCACCAAAGCUCUUUUCAACUUUGACAUCAUCUCCUAUGGAAAUAUGUUCUCCCAAUAUCAUCAUAUCUCUUUGAAAAUUAACUAAAGACUGAUGCCCCUCCCCUGAAAGAUUUUUUCCUGAUCUAGAACCUAUAUUACUGCUAGAAAUAUUAUCUAUGGCAUACAUAUUUCUUUAGUUUGCAAACAUUUGUUUUCCCAGGAAAAAAAAUGUUUUCAAAACAGAAACUAGACCAGACUUUACGAUUUUUACAUAUUUGCUUCACUUGGUAUGACAAAGAAAUGCAAAACAAUUAUGAGAUGGGGAGUGGUGAUGCAAAUAAUAAUUCUUUGUUAUGGUGGUUGUUUUUAUUAGGUUACCUGUACCUGCAGUGCACCUGUGGAAAUAUAUCUGAAAAUGUUCAUUUUUUAGCACCAGGGCUGUUUGAUCAUAUAGCCGAUUUAUGAACAAAAUCUGUAGAACUCAAAAGGAAAUGCAGAUCUGCCGAUUGGCUGCGGAAUUGGGGUUGUGCAGGUAACUGUUGCCACUGAUCUAACCUGGCUAUGAUCACUGCCUCCACUUAGUUUGCAGUUGAAAAUUCUACACUUCGCUCUUGAAAUGUUGUGCUCCACUGCUUUCAGAGCUUGAGGGCUGGAGGGGUCAUGUUUUUAGUUCCAGAGGUCAUGAAUUUGAUUUGCAGUAAAGAAUGUACUAGAGAGCUCAGGAGUGAGAAGUGUGAUUAAAUGACCUCUAAUGGACCUUCCAUUACAUAAUAAUCUCCGUCCUUGGGUCGCCGACAUCUGGAGCACUAAAUGUAUAAAAAUAUUUUUUUCUAAACUAAAAACUAAUCAAACUUUAAUUGAUGACUUAAUGGAUGGUAGUGGAAGGCAUUUGACCAUGUUGGAUCUAGUUUCACACUUUACAAGAUUUAGAUUUUCAUUCUUAUUUAGAUUGACAUGAUUCAGAUUCAGGGUCCAUCAAGAACAUUGUCCCAGGACAGGAUAAUGCUGAUUCUCUGGAGACCAGAUGUGACUUCAUUUCCACCCAUCUGUUCUCCCAUUUGAGUCAAGGGUUCACUCACUUGUUUUCUUUAUUUGUGGUCCAUGGGUGGCUGGAUUCUGAUAGUAUUGUGUUUGACUGCUGUUGGACAGACUUUCGCCCUCACCUUUGAAGCUCAACUCUGGGGAAAGAUCUAGUCUUAAAGAGGAAGAGCUCUUUAGAGGGGUAGUUAGAGCCUAGAGUGAAUCCCUGUCUCAAUUUCCUCCAGAUUGUUUUUAGUGGGCUUAUUAUUCCAUCCCCAGUGUGUCAGGAAACAGCUCUCCAAUACAUACUACUAGCAUUCUCUAUGC
RNAcentral lists this long non-coding RNA (4207 nucleotides) under Marmota monax (woodchuck). The record is from RNAcentral. Lineage: Eukaryota; Metazoa; Chordata; Mammalia; Rodentia; Sciuridae.